This 1617-nucleotide long non-coding RNA is filed under the name Callithrix jacchus (white-tufted-ear marmoset). RNAcentral describes it as "lncRNA (ENSCJAG00000070538.1)". Lineage: Eukaryota; Metazoa; Chordata; Mammalia; Primates; Cebidae. The record is from RNAcentral.
AUGAUCCUGGCUUUAAUCUUUUUCCCUAGAGUCUCAUUUUCCUCACAGCAAAAUGGGGAUGGAUAUAAAUUUGGUCAAGGUGGGAACUGUAACAUUGGACCAGUCGACUUCCAAGACACCAUCCAGCCCCAGCAUUCUAUAAUUUCAGGAUUCUGGGGAGUCCAUGAACGUCAUUUCAGUCCCACAUGCUGGUUCUUCUGCCUGUUUUGUGGUAGAAAACUGACUGCAAAACAUGACGGACCCAAGAGCCCCAAAGGUCUUCCAGGAAGAAUCUAAUUCUACCUGCUCCUGCCUGUGUAUGCUGGUGCCCCAGGCCCCCAUUAAACACCACACCAAGACUCCUCCCCAGAAGAUGCUCCUGACUCCACAGCACAAAAACCAAAGCCACCUGAGUCUGCUGAGGUGGGGAGAGAAGCGAGAAGAGCCUGGAAUCUAUAAACCAGAAAUAAAAUCCUAAGCACCACAACCAACUGAACGGACCCCCUCUGGGCCAAGAGGACCCCUGAGAAACCCAACAAAUUGAAUUCCUGGCCAUGACGGGACACACUUUGCUCUAUCUGCACCCUUUUGGAGGUUAGGCACAGCUGACCAGCAUUAACAUUAAAAUAGCGAUCCAUCCUAAGACUGACAAAACAGACUCUUUGUGGCAAUAAGAUACCAAAUUCCAACCUGACUCUGGUCUAGAAUCACAUGACAGAUAGCAGACCCUGAAGGAAAUAAAAUUAUUUUGCCUCAAAAUGUGUUCCUUUCACAUCUUUUGAAAUGGCCCUCAAAGCCAUCACCAUCUUCUGUUGAGGAAACUCGCACCUGUAGAGAAUCUCCAUUAAUGCAGCCAGGGCUUUCCUUUCUAGGUCUUUUCUGGAUCUAAGAGAGAGGACCUAAGAGUAACACUUUAUAAGGUCUGAAAAGAGUCAUUUGCCAUCUAUUCUCUCUGAAGGCUGCUACCUGGAAGCUUUGUCUACAUCACAAGAACCUCGGUCUCCACAUCCCACCAUAUUUUAACUCAAGCAUUUCUUUCCAUUGACUUCAAGUCUUUAGACAAAGCUUAAAUCUUUCAACCAAUUGCCAAUCAGAAAAUCUUUAAAUCAUGGGCGUGGUGGCACACACCUGUAAUCCCAGCUACUCGGGAGGCUGAAAAUCAUCACUUGAACCCAGGAAGCCGAGAGGCAGAGAUUACAGUGAGCCAAGAUUGCGCCACUGCACUCCAGCUUGGGCGACAGAGGGAGACUCUGCCUGAAAAAAAAAGAAAAGAAAGAAAGAGAGAGAGAGAGAGAGAGAGAGAGAGAGAAAGAAAGAAAGAAAAGAAAAUGUUUGAAUCCACCUAUGAUCUGUAAACCCCAUCCCCUCACUGUAUACCCCGCUAACCUCCCCUCACUUUAAAGAUACCCCACCUUUCCAGCAGAACAAAUGUAUACUUUAUAUGUACUGAUUUAUGUAUUUACCUGUAACUUUGUCUCCCUAAAAUGUAUAAAACCAAACUAAUCCAACUGCCUGGGGCACUUUCUCAGGACCUCUUGAGGCUGUUCCCCAGGCCAUGGUCACUCAUGCUGACUCAGAAUAAACCCUUUCAAAUAUUUUACAGAAUUUGAUUUUUCUAUUGACAAAUCCCUGCUCCAU